RNAcentral lists this ribosomal RNA (245 nucleotides) under Terribacillus saccharophilus. RNAcentral describes it as "partial 16S ribosomal RNA". It matches the Rfam family "Bacterial small subunit ribosomal RNA", at positions 504 to 748 of the family's 1533-position model. Lineage: Bacteria; Bacillati; Bacillota; Bacilli; Caryophanales; Bacillaceae. The record is from RNAcentral.
CGUGCCAGCAGCCGCGGUAAUACGUAGGGGGCAAGCGUUGUCCGGAAUUAUUGGGCGUAAAGGGCUCGUAGGCGGUUUCUUAAGUCUGAUGUGAAAGCCCACAGCUCAACUGUGGAGGGUCAUUGGAAACUGGGGAACUUGAGUGCAGAAGAGGAGAGUGGAAUUCCACGUGUAGCGGUGAAAUGCGUAGAUAUGUGGAGGAACACCAGUGGCGAAGGCGACUCUCUGGUCUGUAACUGACGCUG